UAUACAUGUCCAUGUAGGUAUAAGCCCGAACGAACAAAGCCCAGGAACACUCUGGCCCGUUCCCGUUUUCACGCCAUUGGAAAACGCUGUCCGAUCUGUUGGGCGAACAAGAAGCCCUAGUCGACGAGUCCGUCUCUUUCUCGUGCAUCGAUCCGAUUGAAGUUCCCCAAGUGCGAAUCAUGGAUUUGGAGCGCUCGGUAAUGGCUCACGGCAAGGUGGCACCUGCCGUCCAGGCUUCCUUCCUCGCCGGUAGAAUCUGGCGUAGGAGGUGGAUUGCUUGUGGGUAUGUUGGCUAGCUUCCUGAGAAAAUGUUGCUAAAUGGGCUUCAUUGUUCUUGGUCCUUAAGAGACCCUAAGAGGUUAUGAGGAUGCGCUAACCCUUUAUAGAUGGAUGCGUAAAAGUGUCGCACGACUUAGGCAAAUCCAGCUAAAUCUAUGACAAAUUGCAUGAAAGACAUUCCUUAUUAUUUUGCUAUUGAUUAAAGAUUGUUAUACCAACAAUGGGUUUUCCUUGAUGCAAGCAAUCUCAUCAGCCUGGAGGUGGCACUCAUCCAGAUCUUAAGCACUUCCAGGGACCUGAUUACAUAUAGAUGACUAAUGGAAAACUUUGAAGGUUCAGGACAUCAACUAGGGGAGAGGCUCUGGUGCAUGCUUCUGUUGAGAGAUGCAGUUUCUUUUCAGUGAUGCUGCAGCCUGUUUUGUAGAUCAGAAUACCUUCGUUUGUGUCACUGAGAAGAUCAAGCUGAGCUUGAACCUAAGCUUCCACAAUGGCACAGGAGAAAAAAGUUACUACUCUCUCAUUUUGUCACCUCAAAUAAUCCUGGAAGUCAGUUGGACAUCAACAGCAGCACACAAUAUGGUGAUAACGCCCAUCAAAUCUGUAUUUGCCAAGCUAAUGGGCGAGGUAACAACUCCAUUCAUAAGACACCGAGUUAUCAUCAAUUACUGUCUUGGUAUAUAUCUUGUGGACAGUAUAUAAAUAUGUGUGUUGAAAGUAUGUAAUCUCCUACUUAUCGUGAGGUAUCGUGGAAGCCGUGUUGACCCGGGGUUCCAAGAAAUGGCAAGCGCUCGCAUCUUAUCUACACGUGGCGGCAGUGCACGGUGCGCUGGGUCAACUCCUCCACCUUGCAGCACUCACCAACAUCACAGAGCUGUUGUCGCCACCAUAUAUGCCCUGCACUGUGCCCGCGUCUCCUCCUCUUUCUUCCUCAGCCUUCUCUUCUGAUGCCCGUCGUUCCAAGAUUCACUUAAAACAUUGUCAUUGUUAUUACAUGCAUGCAUGUAACUUUUCUUUACUUUUUAUCCUCGGUUAGCGGUAGAAAAGAAAAGACUCGAUUGGUAUGUAGAUUGAAGUCAGUGGUGACGAUUAAGACGUCCAAUAUCGUACAUUAGGUAUGGACGAAACGGAGGAUGAUACGGCGUGUUUAGUAAAUGAUUUU
Molecule: non-coding RNA, 1438 nt
Organism: Musa acuminata subsp. malaccensis (wild Malaysian banana)
Lineage: Eukaryota; Viridiplantae; Streptophyta; Magnoliopsida; Zingiberales; Musaceae
Source: RefSeq, a predicted model, not a curated record